This 253-nucleotide ribosomal RNA is filed under the name uncultured Blautia sp. Its description in RNAcentral is "partial 16S ribosomal RNA". It matches the Rfam family "Bacterial small subunit ribosomal RNA", at positions 524 to 776 of the family's 1533-position model. Lineage: Bacteria; Bacillati; Bacillota; Clostridia; Lachnospirales; Lachnospiraceae. The record is from RNAcentral.
UACGGAGGAUGCGAGCGUUAUCCGGAUUUACUGGGUGUAAAGGGAGCGUAGACGGCGAUGCAAGCCAGAUGUGAAAGCCCGGGGCUCAACCCCGGGACUGCAUUUGGAACUGUGUGGCUGGAGUGUCGGAGAGGCAGGCGGAAUUCCUGGUGUAGCGGUGAAAUGCGUAGAUAUCAGGAGGAACACCAGUGGCGAAGGCGGCUUACUGGACUGUAACUGACGUUGAGGCUCGAAAGCGUGGGGAGCAAACAGG